AAGUCGUAACAAGGUUUCACCACCGUCGGAAGCUUUGUAAGUAUUCAAUCCGUCCUUUCCGGGCAGGUAACACUCGUCUGUUGCUGGAAGUGAACCUCCGUUGGAGUUAACCAGCUGCCAUAUGCGUCGUAACGCCUCGCAUGUGGCCCACAGAUCAAACACGAGUGGCCCUGGCCCCCGUCGAUUCUCUGGAAUCGGGGGCCUACGGGUUGAGAUAUGACCGUAGCAGCCUUGCAAAAGGCUGGAAGACUGGUUCCGUAGGUGAACCUGCGGAAGGAUCAUUAAUGAGUGAAAGGGUUCGCGCCCUCGGUGGCUUCACUGCCGCCAAACUCUAUACCCCGUGUCUACGUAUCUUUGUUGCUUUGGCGGGCCCUGAGGUCCUUCUCACGCCGGUCCCGGGCCCUUUGCCCGGGGGGGCGAGCGCCCGUCAGUAGCCCAUCUCAAACCCUUUGUAUCAGUGACGUCCGAGUAUUAUCAUAAUAAAUAAAAACUUUCAACAACGGAUCUCUUGGUUCUGGCAUCGAUGAGGAACGCAGCGAAAUGCGAUAAGUAAUGUGAAUUGCAGAAUUCAGUGAAUCAUCGAAUCUUUGAACGCACAUUGCGCCCCUCGGUAUUCCGGGGGGCAUGCCUGUUCGAGCGUCAUUGCACCCCUCAAGCGUAGCUUGGUAUUGGGUUCCCGCCGCUCCGGUGGGCCCGAAAGUCAGUGGCGGUCCGGUGCGACUUCGAGCGUAGUAAAUAUACCUCCCGCUUUGGAAGCCCACACUGCGACCGGCCAGAGCGCCCAACUUUUCAAUGAUUGACCUCGGAUCAGGUAGGGAUACCCGCUGAACUUAAGCAUAUCAAUAAGCGGAGGAAAAGAAACCAACAGGGAUUGCCUCAGUAACGGCGAGUGAAGCGGCAACAGCUCAAAUUUGAAAUCUGGCCUCUUCGGGGUCCGAGUUGUAAUUUGUAGAGGACGUUUCGGGAGCGGCGACGGUCUAAGUCCCUUGGAACAGGGCGUCAUAGAGGGUGAGAAUCCCGUAUGUGACCGGCGACCAACCCCAUGUGAAACCCCUUCGACGAGUCGAGUUGUUUGGGAAUGCAGCUCAAAAUGGGUGGUAAAUUUCAUCUAAAGCUAAAUACCGGCCAGAGACCGAUAGCGCACAAGUAGAGUGAUCGAAAGAUGAAAAGCACUUUGGAAAGAGAGUCAAACAGUACGUGAAAUUGUUGAAAGGGAAGCGCUGGCAACCAGACCUGUCCGCGGGCUUCAGCCCCCGUUCUCGGGGGUGUACUUGUCCGCGAUCAGGCCAGCAUCGGUUCGGGCGGUUGGAUAAAGGCCUUGGGAAUGUAGCUUCCUCCGGGAAGUCUUAUAGCCCUCGGCGCAAUGCGGCCAGCCCGGACCGAGGACCGCGCUUCGGCUAGGAUGCUGGCGUAAUGGUUGUCAGCGACC
RNAcentral lists this ribosomal RNA (1429 nucleotides) under uncultured fungus. RNAcentral describes it as "eukaryotic LSU rRNA". The stretch from base 798 to 1429 matches the Rfam family "Eukaryotic large subunit ribosomal RNA", at positions 1 to 649 of the family's 3401-position model. The record is from RNAcentral. Lineage: Eukaryota; Fungi.